GCGUUGAAGCGGGAGGUUGCGGCUAAUAGCCGGUUUUUCCGUGGAGUAUGUCCGAUUUUAAACCGGGCGA
This 70-nucleotide non-coding RNA is filed under the name human gut metagenome. RNAcentral's name for it is "S10-Clostridia ribosomal protein leader". It matches the Rfam family "S10-Clostridia ribosomal protein leader". The record is from RNAcentral.